RNAcentral lists this ribosomal RNA (376 nucleotides) under uncultured bacterium. Its description in RNAcentral is "bacterial SSU rRNA". It matches the Rfam family "Bacterial small subunit ribosomal RNA", at positions 524 to 898 of the family's 1533-position model. The record is from RNAcentral.
UACGAAGGGGGCAAGCGUUGUCCGGAAUUAUUGGGCGUAAAGAGCGCGCAGGCGGCUAUUUAAGUCUACCGUGAAAGCUUACGGCUCAACCGUAACGGGCCGGUGGAUACUGGAUGGCUUGAGGGCAGGAGAGGAAAGUGGAAUUCCCAGUGUAGCGGUGAAAUGCGUAGAGAUUGGGAGGAACACCAGUGGCGAAGGCGACUUUCUGGACUGUUACUGACGCUGAGGCGCGAAAGCUGGGGGAGUGAACGGGAUUAGAUACCCCGGUAAUCCCAGCCGUAAACGAUGGGUACUAGGUGUAGGAGGUAUCGACCCCUUCUGUGCCGAAGCUAACGCAUUAAGCACCCCGCCUGGGGAGUACGUACGCAAGUAUGAA